Elaeis guineensis (African oil palm) is the source of this 812-nucleotide non-coding RNA. The record is from RefSeq and is a predicted model, not a curated record. Lineage: Eukaryota; Viridiplantae; Streptophyta; Magnoliopsida; Arecales; Arecaceae.
CUUGUGUGUUGUGAGAUCUUUUGGAAAAGGGUUCUUAAAAAAGUCCUAGUAGAGGUCAUGAAGGCAAAUAAGCAUUGGUGCAACUAGUUCUUGUGAAAGACAGACGGCAGCUAGCUUGCGAAGAAGGCUGCAGCACCAUGAUGAGUUGAGAAGGACCCUAAUCAGUUCCGUGUGGAUCACUGUUAGAGGGCUUCUACUUUGGAGUCUCAUGGAGGUCUCAAAGUUACCAGAUCAUGGUCUUCUCGUUGGCGGCUAACUCCUUGUCCAUUCCAUGGGCAUCCAAUCAACUAUGACCAAGCCAAAGCCCCACCAGAGAGAGGGUGGUUGAUGUUCGAUAAAUGAUCUCCCUUGAGCUUUAUGCUGCUAUAGAAUAAAUGAUCUCCCUUGAGCUAUGAUAGAGCUCGAGAAGUUGGUGGUGAAGGAGAUUAGGAAGGAGAAGGUUGUGUUGGCUGUGGAGUACACCACCACCUAGAAAGUCAAGGUCUUAACUGAGGCUACUGAGGCCUCCAUGUGGGCUUACAACCUCGGCUUUGAUGAAUGUAUAUUCAUGGUUCAGUGGCUUUAUUCCAUAGUCAAUGCUGACUCUCAGAUUCCUCGAGAGGAUGAGGAUGGGAUGGAGCUCAACAGGGCUCAAGUUGUUGACCACGUUUCUACACAAGCUGAAGAUGUUGUCGCCCCCGAAGUUUAAGCUUACCUUUUUCAUUAUUUAUUUCUUUCUUUGGUUGUGUACAGAUUAGCUUUGUGCUUAUCGUGCAAGUGUUGUAGUCAGCCAUGCUGACCUUUUCCUUAAAUUAAUGAAAUAUAUUUUGUCU